CCAAUGACUCUCGGCAACGGAUAUCUCGGCUCUCGCAUCGAUGAAGAACGUAGCAAAAUGCGAUACCUGGUGUGAAUUGCAGAAUCCCGUGAACCAUCGAGUUUUUGAACGCAAGUUGCGCCCGAGGCCUUCUGGUUGAGGGCACGUCUGCCUGGGCGUCACGC
RNAcentral lists this ribosomal RNA (164 nucleotides) under Muhlenbergia ciliata. RNAcentral describes it as "5.8S ribosomal RNA". It matches the Rfam family "5.8S ribosomal RNA". Rfam says of the family: 5.8S ribosomal RNA (5.8S rRNA) is a component of the large subunit of the eukaryotic ribosome. The record is from RNAcentral. RNAcentral also lists the same sequence under 2 other names. Lineage: Eukaryota; Viridiplantae; Streptophyta; Magnoliopsida; Poales; Poaceae.